UACAGAGGUCCCGAGCGUUGUUCGGAUUCACUGGGCGUAAAGGGUGCGCGGGUGGGUUGGCAAGUUUGAUGUGAAAGCCCCGGGCUUAACCCGGGAAUGGCAUUGAAUACUGCUGAUCUGGAGGAUCGGAGGGGGGACUGGAAUUCUUGGUGUAGCAGUGAAAUGCGUAGAUAUCAAGAGGAACACCAGUGGCGAAGGCGAGUCCCUGGACGAUACCUGACACUGAGGCACGAAAGCCGGGGGAGCAAACAGG
RNAcentral lists this ribosomal RNA (253 nucleotides) under uncultured bacterium. RNAcentral describes it as "partial 16S ribosomal RNA". It matches the Rfam family "Bacterial small subunit ribosomal RNA", at positions 524 to 776 of the family's 1533-position model. The record is from RNAcentral.